GCUUGUCUCAAAGAUUAAGCCAUGCAUGUCUAAGUAUAAACAACUUUAUACUGUGAAACUGCGAACGGCUCAUUAUAUCAGCAAUAAUUUAUUUGAUGGUUCCUUACUACAUGGAUAACUGUAGUAAUUCUAGAGCUAAUACAUGCGUAAAGUCCCAACUCUCGCGGGGAGGGAUGUAUUUAUUAGAUAAAAAACCAAUGCGGGCUCUGUCCGGUUUUGUGGUGAAUCAUAGUAACUUAUCGAAUGGCAUGGUUUCAUACCGGCCAUAUUUCAUUCAAAUUUCUGCCCUAUCAGCUUUCGACGGUAGUGUAGUGGACUACCGUGGCGUUAACGGGUAACGGAGAAUUAGGGUUCGAUUCCGGAGAGGGAGCCUGAGAAACGGCUACCACAUCCAAGGAAGGCAGCAGG
Molecule: ribosomal RNA, 408 nt
Filed under: uncultured Protaspa
Lineage: Eukaryota; Cercozoa; Thecofilosea; Cryomonadida
Description: partial small subunit ribosomal RNA
Rfam family: Eukaryotic small subunit ribosomal RNA
Source: RNAcentral